This 482-nucleotide ribosomal RNA is filed under the name uncultured bacterium. RNAcentral describes it as "bacterial SSU rRNA". It matches the Rfam family "Bacterial small subunit ribosomal RNA", at positions 30 to 506 of the family's 1533-position model. The record is from RNAcentral.
UUGAACGCUGGCGGCAUGCUUUACACAUGCAAGUCGAACGGCAGCGGGGGCUUCGGCCUGCCGGCGAGUGGCGAACGGGUGAGUAAUGCAUCGGAACGUACCCAGUCGUGGGGGAUAACUAAUCGAAAGGUUAGCUAAUACCGCAUACGACCUGAGGGAGAAAGCGGGGGCUCGCAAGACCUCGCGCGAUUGGAGUGGCCGAUAUCUGAUUAGCUAGAUGGUGAGGUAAAGGCUCACCAUGGCGACGAUCAGUAGCUGGUCUGAGAGGAUGAUCAGCCACACUGGGACUGAGACACGGCCCAGACUCCUACGGGAGGCAGCAGUGGGGAAUUUUGGACAAUGGGCGAAAGCCUGAUCCAGCCAUUCCGCGUGAGUGAAGAAGGCCUUCGGGUUGUAAAGCUCUUUCAGGAGGGAAGAAACGGUUACGGAUAAUACCUGUGACUAAUGACGGUACCUUCAGAAGAAGCACCGGCUAACUACGU